Molecule: RNA transcript, 2339 nt
Organism: Sycon ciliatum
Lineage: Eukaryota; Metazoa; Porifera; Calcarea; Leucosolenida; Sycettidae
Exons: 9
Source: RefSeq, a predicted model, not a curated record
UAGCUGAACCAUCGGACCUUAUUUGUCAGCUUGGAUCACGUGAUCCAUCCAGCUGCCGCGUGCGGCAAACAGCCCAAAUAGCGCUAACUCUGGCCUGCGAGCGUUUGCUGCGACUAGCGCGCUAGCGCUCGUGACAUACACAAACGCGCUAGCCAGAAUGCUUUGACUUUGAUGGCUUUCAGCUUCUAUUUUUUGAAAAGUAGCGCGCUCAGACCAGCUCGCUCACUCUUUUCCUCUUCCAUUUUUUAGGGCAAUUGUUUUGUUUGAUAGACGAAGCUUAGGGUCUCUUUGGGUUUGCAACCCUUACCCUCCUGGAAAAAAUCAUAGUUGUGCUAGACUGCGACACUUCAGACCAGGUACUAUUAGAGCCGCUAAUGGACGACGAGCUAUUUUCCGCUAUCCGGAGCUCAAGCAUUUGAGCCGCUAAAUGGACGAGACUCCUGAGGUAAAGGAUGCAGAGAAUGAGGAGAGAACACUCGUAUGGAGCAGGGAGUAGGUAGUGUACUACUUCCUGGUAUGGAGCACUGAGAAGCGCUUUCACUGUCCAGGAGCGACACUGACUCGCACUGCUAACUGGUGCUCACGAGGUGUUUGUCGCGCUGCAAACGGAGCGUCUCUCAUUAGGCGAUUUGAUCGCAGGACGAGAGAGGAGCUGAUGGACGAUCUCUCCAAUGUUCCACUUGGUUCGGAGCGGCGCCGAGUGCUGACGUUGGGACUUGGCCGGUGUGUGCACACCGCUAGCUAAACCGACCAACGGCUACUCCCAGGGCACAAACUAUUCUGCUGGAGGCAGCGUCGUCUUCGGCUGAAAUUCCGGAUACAACCUGCAGGGAAGCAUUGUGCGCAUCUGCCAGAUUGACGGUUCCUGGAGUGGGGCAGCUGCCUCAUGUAAUCCCAUUCAACUGCAGUGCCAGUCUGGCUACCUGCCCUGCCUGCGUUCCAGCCUGUGGCUGUAUCCUGCCAUCACAGCGCUGCGACGGUGUUUGGUACGACUGUGCUGAUGGCUCUGAUGCACAGUACUGCCCAGGCAAGGUCACACCAGCUCCAGGUCAAACCGACUGCCAGGUCCUGUCACCACCGGCACUGGGCUCAAUGACCGUGAACGGCUUGAUGUUCAGCAACACGACCACGUUUGUGUGCAGUCUCCCUAUGUCCUUAUGGGCUCGGUCGUGUGUACUUGUGAAAUCAACGGCCAGUGGAGCGGUGUGCAGCCAACUUGCGUCCUGACGACUGCUGCUCUGAGUGCGGCCAGUGACGAGCUAGUCAAGGACUCCGUCUCAGAACGCAUGACACAAACGUCUCCUGCUCCAUGCCCAUUGUUGGAGCGACAGUCCUGGAAUCCAGAGUUGCAAGUGAGGUGGUGAUACGGCAAGCAGACGGUGGCAAAAGUACGGCUUAAAAGCUCUACAUCUGGCAAGUGGCCGGCAUACCACCCCAAUGGACAUCGGAACAGUACACGUAGAGUAGCAUCUCUACGUGACAGGGUAUGAGCGCAAGCCAGUAUUGCCAAGCACUGGGGACCUUUGGCAAUCUGAAGAAUGUUUUGUCCGAGAAUCGAUCCUUGGAUCUGUGGCGUUGCAGUUGUGGUGCUCCCGACCCUCUUGCGCGAUGGCCGCGGAGACCUAGCGAAAAGGUUCGAGACAUACGGCAUCUCAAUAUCUUCCACCACAAUCAGUACAUCAGCACCACCAUCGAGUGUAGCGACAUCAGCAAUAGAAGACGCACAUGAUAUCAUCCACCCUUACGGCCUUAGCGAAGACCCGGGAAUACCUGAGAAGAUGUUAGCCGCAACUUUACUGGAAAAGUCGUCGGUGACAACGGCACUCCAUAUUUUAGCUGCAUGCAGUUAGGUCUCUCAACAAGUGUACCGAAAGUUUUCAAGCUAAUACACAAGCAAAUUCACUAGGGGCCGAGUAUAUUUUCCUACACCUCUCCCUGUUUGUUGUUGUUAUUUCUGCAUUCAAAUUGUUUGUGUACCUGUACAUUUAUUACAGUAGAGCCACGCAUCCACAGCUGUUGUUUCCAAGGGGUCAGGCUCGUCAGUUAUACAAAACCUUUCAGCAAUCUGGCCUUAGGCUUAGUUCCUUGACUUUUUGUACCACUUUCUUAGAUGCACAUCCCACUGGAUAGUGAGCAAUACGUGUGUACCAGAAUCUGUAUUCCAGAAAAGCAGAGACUCGAGUCUAUUGACACUGCGUUUCUUUUUAAAACGUUAUUGGCUGUGGUGUACCUAGAGGUAUACACGUACAUUCCUGGGUCCCACGUUCUGUGACGCCCGACUGUAUUCGUGGUGCCUCAACAACUUUUAAUUUUGUGCGCUCGGGAAAACCUGCCGGAGA